GCAAUUUUUGAGAAUGUUUUUGCCUUUUGACGUGGCUCUUUCAUUGUACAAAAUUGCAAUAGCAUUUGGGUUUUUUGCUUGCCUCGUUGUUUUGAAAAUACAAUAAACAAUGAAGGCCAAUGAAAGCCUGAACACU
Molecule: small nucleolar RNA, 136 nt
Filed under: Drosophila mojavensis
Lineage: Eukaryota; Metazoa; Arthropoda; Insecta; Diptera; Drosophilidae
Description: snoRNA:GI25387
Source: RNAcentral